ACUCACGCAGCAGACAGGAGAAAGAGGAAAAGCCGCAGGGCUAAUCGGAAAGCUAAUGAACGACGUGACGGCCAACAUCUUUCACUUCAGAAGAGUUUAGAGUUAGUGGAUUCUUUCCGGCGAGCCUGAAUUCAUUUCUCUGAGCUCCUAAUUGAAAUAUCUGGUAAGAAGAUGAGUGCUCGGAAGAAGACACCUUUCCAGAAGCAUAGGGAAGAGGAAGAGGCAAAGAAAAAGAGGGCAGAGGAUGAAACAGCUCGUCUGUAUCAAGAAUUUGUGGAGUCGUUUUCAGUGGAUAAUGCGCCAGGUUCCAAGGCAUUUGUUAGAGGGGGAACUAUCAAUCCGAAUGAUAAAGUGAAGACUGAUUCUGAAGGUGGAAAUUCUAAAGAUGAGGGUUCAGGUUUAAAGAAGGGGAGUAGGUAUGUGCCUUCUUUCUUGCCGCCUCCUAUGGCAACAAAGGGCAGAGAUUAUGAGAAGAAGAAGGAGGAUAAGCCGAGGGAAAAAGAGAAGGGCAAGUCUAGGAACAUCGACAAUUUCAUGGAGGAAUUGAAGCAUGAACAAGAAAUGAGGGAAAGGCGUAACCAAGACCGUGAACAGUGGCGUGAUCGUCAUACUGAAAAUUCUACUCCAUCUAGUCGGUUUGAUGAGCUGCCUGAUGACUUUGAUCCUAGUGGAAGGCCUGGAUCAUUUGAUGAUGGCGAUCCACAAACAACAAAUCUCUAUGUAGGAAACCUAUCACCUCAGGUUGAUGAGAAUUUUCUUUUGCGCACAUUUGGGAGAUUUGGCCCCAUUGCAAGUGUAAAGAUAAUGUGGCCAAGGACAGAAGAAGAAAGAAGGCGACAGAGGAAUUGUGGUUUUGUAGCUUUCAUGAAUAGAGCUGAUGCUCAGGCUGCAAAAGAUGAGAUGGAAGGAGUUAUUGUUUAUGAAUAUGAGUUGAAGAUUGGGUGGGGUAAAUCUGUCUCUCUGCCUUCUCAAGCGCUUCCUGCUCCCCCUCCAGGACAUAUGGCUAUCAGGAGUAAGGAGGGUGCAACUGUUAUCUUAUCUGGUCCAUCAGGUCCUCCGGUUACUACUGUUUCAGGCCAGAACUCUGAGUUGGUUCUCACUCCAAAUGUACCAGAUAUUAUGGUUGUUCCACCCGAGGAUGAUCACCUUCGCCACGUUAUUGAUACAAUGGCUCUGUAUGUUCUUGAUGGAGGUUGUGCUUUUGAACAAGCCAUAAUGGAGCGAGGCCGUGGAAAUCCUCUCUUCAGUUUCUUGUUUGAGCUUGGCUCAAAGGAGCAUACUUACUACGUUUGGAGGCUUUAUUCUUUUGCUCAGGGAGAUACUCUUCAACGUUGGCGCACAGUGCCUUUCAUCAUGAUAACUGGUAGUGGGAGGUGGAUACCACCACCUCUACCAACACCUAAAGGAGCUGAGCAUGAAAAAGAAUCUGGGAGCACAUUUGCUGCUGGAAGAAGCAGGCGUGUGGAGGUUGAAAGGACAUUGACUGAUGCUCAGAGGGAUGAAUUUGAGGAUAUGCUCCGGUCAUUGACACUAGAAAGAAGUCAAAUAAAAGAAGCGAUGGGUUUUGCUUUGGACAAUGCUGAUGCUGCUGGAGAGGUUGUUGAAGUUUUGACAGAGUCUUUGACCCUCAAGGAAACUCCAAUACCAACAAAAGUUUCUAGGCUCAUGCUUGUCUCUGAUAUUCUUCAUAAUAGUAGUGCUCCUGUGAAGAAUGCAUCUGCUUAUCGCACCAAAUUUGAAGCCUCUUUACCAGACAUAAUGGAAAGCUUCAAUGAUCUAUACCGAAGUAUAACAGGACGAAUAACUGCCGAGGCACUUAAAGAAAGAGUGCUGAAAGUGCUUCAAGUGUGGGCUGAUUGGUUUUUGUUUUCUGAUGCCUAUGUUAAUGGUUUACGAGCAACCUUUCUUCGAACCGGGAACUCUGGUGUGAUCCCAUUUCAUUCUCUGUGUGGUGAUGCACCUGAAGUAGAACAAAAGACCAGUUCUGAUGAUGCAGGUGAUGGCGGUAAGAUUAACCCGGAUGGUGCUUUGGCAAUUGGGAAAGGAGCUGCAACGAAGGAACUGUUGAGCCUUCCCCUUACUGAGCUAGAAAGACGAUGCAGGCACAAUGGUUUGUCUAUUGUAGGCGGUAGGGAAAUGAUGGUUGCUCGGUUACUUUAUCUGGAAGAGGCUGAAAAGCUGAGAGGUCAUGAACUAGAUGAAGAUUUGAAAUUUGUGGGCCAUUCAAGUUCUGUUAGGUUCCCAAGCAGCCGGAAAGAUAGCAACCUUGAGUUGGAUAGAAGUGCUCCUUCUGCAUGGAAUAGUCAAGUGGAUUAUGACGUGCAACUCAAACAAAGAGACUCUGUAUCUUCACCCCCAACUAUUUCUGUUCUACAGCAUAAUUCAAUUGACUUUUCCAGUGAGGGCAAAAAUGACACAAUUUUGCCUACAUCUAAAUGGGCCAGGGAGGAUGACGAAAGUGAUGAUGAACAAAAGAGAAGUUCGAGGGACCUGGGGUUGACAUAUUCAUCAUCUGGAAGUGAGAACGCUGGUGAUGGCCUUAGCAAGAUCAAGGAUACAGAGCUUACAACAGACACAAGCAAUUCAGCAUACCCGGAAAGUGGAAUGAACGAAGAAUUGAGACAAAAGCUGAGGCGUCUAGAGGUUGCAUUGAUUGAAUAUCGUGAAUCUCUAGAAGAGCGAGGAAUAAAAAGUUCAGAUGAAAUUGAGAGGAAAGUUGAAAUCCAUCGGCAACUUCUACAAUCUGAAUUUGGUUUAUUGAAUUUCAGUGAAGAUAAUUCCAAAAAAGUUCUCGGAUGCUUUGGGGUUGAUAUAUAUCUGAACUUUAUGGUAAACAAUAGCUGAAGCAGGACGGUGGUUUAAUUGCUCAAAUUAUAUUUACUGUUUUCAACAGCGCUAUCAGACAUUCUCUGGAUUACAUGUUACUGAGCUGCUGCUUAGGAGACUGUAUUUUUCCUAAACUGUGUCUGUUAGUUCAAGAAAUUGUAGUGGAAUGAGGCAAAUGACACAUCAGAUAUGUUAGCACUUAGUGAGAAUUUAGCUAUCACAGUAAUCUGUUGUGGAUGCAAUAACCUUUUGAUAAUACUUUUUCUUGGCAUCUAUGAGAUGUAUCACUCUUUGCUGGAUAAAGUUGGUUAUCUUCAUAUUUACGAGAAGAUUAGGUAUCUGGUGCCCCUAGGGUUUUGGUUCGGUGGUAAGAGCAUAGCUUGAGGCAUGGAUUAGGCACAUACAAUGAGCCCAAGCUCUGCUGCAGACUAAAGCUUGGUGUUUAAGUGGAGAACAUUAGAGUAAUUUGAACCAAGCGCUAGCUGAUUCUCGGAGAUUGCUCGGUUAUUGGAAAAAAUGAAAAGAAAAAGAAGAGAAGAUUAGGUAUCUGGUUGAGCAGGAUACUGGACAGGGAAGCUUUUAUUAGCUGUAAAUAUUGCGCAUAGAAAGGCCACUUGACUGCCUCCCUUCUAUACAUUGUCAUCACUCUUUUCAUGGCAGGUAGGUCAUCUUUGGAGCGGAGAGAGAAAAGAGACGAUUCUCGUGAAGCUUCAAGGAAGCGCCAACGGAGCCGCAGCAGAAGUGGAAGCCCUCAGUGGAAAUCUUC
Nicotiana tabacum (common tobacco) is the source of this 3592-nucleotide non-coding RNA. NCBI's taxonomy places the organism in Eukaryota, Viridiplantae, Streptophyta, Magnoliopsida, Solanales, Solanaceae. The record is from RefSeq and is a predicted model, not a curated record.